RNAcentral lists this long non-coding RNA (364 nucleotides) under Glycine max (soybean). Its description in RNAcentral is "long non-coding RNA (GMAX_LNC003399)". The record is from RNAcentral. Lineage: Eukaryota; Viridiplantae; Streptophyta; Magnoliopsida; Fabales; Fabaceae.
AGGGAUUCUCAAAAUAUGCUACUACUACAAAUAUGCUGCUACUACUACAACCACCACCACUUCUUACUCUCAGUGAUUCUCCAAAUAUGCUACUACUACAACCACCACCUCAACAUGUUUCCAGCGAUAAAGCUAAUAAUCCAUCACCACUGUCAGAACUUCAUGCAGGGGAUUAGCAAUCUAAACAUAGCUCAUAGUAGCUAUGCAAUCUUUGCUAGCACCGCUCUUUAUGAAAUUUGUAUGAACAGGAAAGUUUUGUUUGAUCUUUUACAAUGAUCAUAAUGAAAUAACCAAGCAGGCCUUGUACUGUCUCUUCUAAUGUUUGUUUCUAACUAAUUUCUUUUUUUGUUUAAUAGCAUAUGUA